UACGUAGGGGGCAAGCGUUGUCCGGAUUUAUUGGGCGUAAAGAGCGUGUAGGCGGCCAAGCAGGUCCGCUGUGAAAACUCGAGGCUCAACCUCGAGACGUCGGUGGAAACCGUUUGGCUAGAGUCCGGAAGAGGAGAGUGGAAUUCCCGGUGUAGCGGUGAAAUGCGCAGAUAUCGGGAGGAACACCUGUGGUGUAGACGGCUUUCUGGACCAUAGCUGACGCUGAGACACGAAAGCGUGGGUAGCAAACAGG
Molecule: ribosomal RNA, 253 nt
Filed under: uncultured bacterium
Lineage: Bacteria
Description: partial 16S ribosomal RNA
Rfam family: Bacterial small subunit ribosomal RNA
Source: RNAcentral